This is a long non-coding RNA of Tympanuchus pallidicinctus (lesser prairie-chicken), 4397 nucleotides long. RefSeq lists it as uncharacterized. The record is from RefSeq and is a predicted model, not a curated record. The transcript is spliced from 5 exons. NCBI's taxonomy places the organism in Eukaryota, Metazoa, Chordata, Aves, Galliformes, Phasianidae.
UGUUUCUCUCCAGGUGACCUAAGUAGGAUUUCACACACUUCUCACUUCUCUGCAUCAGAAGCUAAUCUGCUCUUAACAGCAGUGAGUAGUGAAAAAGCCUUUGUGAGUGCUGUGAGCACAGCGCUCCGCUGUCAGCCAGAGCCACUGGAAAAGAGGGAGAGAAGGAAGGAGCUGCAGAGGACGGCAGGCAAUAACCAGAGAUAGAGCCUGAGAUGUUUAAGAAGAGCUAUGCUCACCUGUGUUUCUAACAGUUCUUCUAAAGAGAAACUGGAGAAACCUGGAGCACAUGAAAGUAGUCAUCAACUAUAAUUGACAGCUGCAGCUCCAGCAUAUGUUAUAAAAGGUCACUACAGGAAAAGGAUUCCUGGGGUCAAGUGAGAAAGGGAUCCACUCUGCUGUGUUACAUUUUACAUCUAUUUUUGGCAAUUCAAGACUUCAACAAGGAGAUCAUUCAGUACAAGACAAUUGCAAUUAAGUGAAUACUAAAGGGUUCUACUAGAUAAAAACAUAGAAGUUCCUUCUAUUUUCCCACUAAUGUUGUGAACAUCACACAAAGUAAAAGAGGUCCAGAGGCCUUCCAGAACUUGCUGAAACUUCGCUCUCCCAUUCUGAUUUAUUCAUCCUCAUAAGACUGGUUGGUGAAUCAAAACAGAACUGAAGAGUCUACUAGCAGUUUCUUUUGAGAGAUCAGUAGUUCCACAAAUAAACUGAAUGCAUCUUGAAGAAAGAAAUAUCAUUUCUGUGCCAGAGUACAGCAUUACGUCCUCAGCACUGCCAUCAACAGGACAUUUCAGUAUCAGCUGCAUGUAUAUUUAUGAAUGGAUGAAUGAUACCAUCAAGCUCUUGAAAAGUGCUUUCAUCACAAGAUCUUAAAGUGUCUUACAAUGGUAGGAUUCUGUGCUUGAUUUUAAUUUUGAUGAAAUUGGGGCAAAAUAAUUCCCCUAAGAUCAUCAAGUUGGCCAUACAGCUAAACUUGCGCCCCAGAUCCAGGCACAGCUCCAUCCAUCCCUCUGCUUCUUUUAUACACUUCGGUGAAAGCAUAGGACUGCAUUUUUCAGAAACUCUCCACUCUGUUCUCAAUCUUGCUGCUCACAAGUGCUGUGCAAUUGAGGUGCCAAAGAAUUCCAAGGAAUGGCAGUAGUGGUUGUUUGAAAAGUCUUGGUUAUGCAGUUAGCUGAGCAACUAGGUUGAAUCAGGCAGUUGUAGGAGCGCCAAACAAAAACAGCGUUCUUGCUGAAACACAGUUAUUUGCAGUGCAAAAUGCUGAUAUAAAAGAUGUCAUGACAAAACAGUACCAACCCGAACUUAAACUAUGCACAUCUCUGAAUAACUGGCAAGAGAAACUUUUUUUCACUUCAUAAUAUUAGUUCAAGAAAUAUGUUGAAAUGUCAUAGUUUAUUUUUAUAUCUUUAAAUUUUUAUCUUUCUCCCUCCUGAAACAUAUUAGGCACCUUUGCAGUAGAAAGGCUAUUAGUAAAUGUACAGCUUAGCUACAUUCCAAAGUGCAAUAAAAACAUGAUUAGAUAAAACUACGCAUGUUUAUAUCACGCUCUGAAGCAUCAAUCUAAAAUAAGAUGCUUUUUGUGAUUGCAUGAAUGCCAUAAAGAAGAGGCAAACCCUAGAUAUAUAGUUAUAAGCACACCUAAGGAAGUUUAAAACUUAUUUCAGUAAAUAAAUUUAAAACAAUAAAAAUAUUUAUAUUUUACAGUAGAAAUCUGGUGAAACUUUUGGAGAAGGGGCAAAAUUGAAGAAAGAAGAGGGUCUUAAAAUUCUAUAAAAUAAUUUAUUUGCUGGGACAGUAAAGAAAAUGAUUCGGGAAGGGGUAAAACUUCCAGACUCUUCAGUUACAUUGCUUCCUGAUUUUCAAAGACAUAUUAAAAAAAAUCCAUAUAAGAGUUAAUAUAUUUUUACAACAUCUGUGUUUGAGUAUUUAUAUCUAAGGGUCAGACGUGAUAGAAAAGUAAUGAGACCAUGUUGAGAAAAAUGAGGUAGUCAACAGGAAAAUCAACCUCAUUUAUAAUAAUAUUCCUGUGAUCAGCAGGUGCAUAACUCUCCCAGCUACGGCCAUUAACUGCAUUCAUUUCACACUUAACAUCUACAUUUGCAAAUCAUUUGAAAGUAAAAUUACCUUCCAAUUCAAUUUUCAAUUUUAUUUUAUAUAUUCUACUUUGAUUGACUAUUCUCCUCACAAUGGUAACUGUAGCCAGAUUGCAAGUAAAUAGUAACAGCUACCCAAGAGUAUAGAUAAACUCAUCUUCUCAGAUUACCUAUUCACUUUGUUGUAUGUAUAAUCAUUUAUAGCCAUUUGUUAAUGUUCAAUUCAAGGCUUAAAAUGAACUUAGAAAAAAUGACAUUGGACUGUUGAAGAAAUGCUUCAUUUAUCAGGCUCACUUGUUCUUAAAAUGAAAGUGUUUUUUCUCCUUAUAAAUGACUUAACCUGAAAGUUUACCAAACAGGAAAGUGGGUAUUUUAUUAAUGUUGCUAUGCAAGAAGCAUACAAUUGCCAUACAAUUUAUUAUUCACAGAAAUUUCCACAGAUCCUGGUCAAAAUCCAGGCAGGAAACAAACAGGUACAUUUUAACUAUUAGUAUGUUAGCAUAUUAGAUUUUAGUCAUCUUCGAGCCUUCUUGUCUAUAAAAGUGAUUGUUCUUCAUAAAUACUGGGUAGUACCAACAUCCCAUUUUAGAGACAGAAAGAGCAAAGGAAUAUCAAUGGUUUUGUGAUUUGCCACGGUCACAAAUUCUCAAAUUUGCUUUUUCAGAGACAGUUUCUAUUUCAUUCAUGUUUUAUUUUACACAAUACUUGUAAAUUAGAGCUACUGAACUGGUAGCCUGAUCAUCUGAAAUCCUGAGCACUGAGUUUUGCCAUCAUUGAAACAGUUACAUUGAUAAUCAAUCAAAUAUCUACAGAACAAGAGAUGAAAGAGAGUCACAUGCUACCUGGGCCUAGAGAAUAAGUUAUGAAGAACCACCUUUCAUUUUAUAUACUGAAAUUUUCAAUGUUGGUAAUCAUUUUCUGGAAACAAAUAAGGAAACAAAAAACCACCCAUUAAACUCUUCUUAAACAGCAUCCAUAGAAUGGCAGUACGAUCGGUGUCAGGUUCAUUAAAAGAGAAUGAGGAAAUCUGAUUGCUAGAACAGAAGUGCUUUCCAAAUAUAAGCAAUUGUGAAGAACUGGAGACUCCUGAGCUCUUUCCGCAAAAUAAUCAACAUAUUUGCCAUCGAUUUCCCAACUGAAAGAAUGAGCUGAUAUUUUCAGUGAUCGAGAAUAAUUUGUUGUGACAGUUUCAUUUCAUUACUUUUAGAACUGUAUACAUUCCAAAAGAAACCAACAAACCAAGAAAACCAAACCAAAACAUUCUUGAAACGGUCAUUAAUUCUUCUAACACAUUCACAGAACUUCUAUUAAUAUGUUAACUUCUAGGUUUUGACAUCACCUUAUCUGUGUAGCUUUUUCUCUCUCAGUUUUGUAAUAAAUUCUGUUUAUAGGAAGUUCUUCUGAAACACAGCCAACUCUAUCAAUUCACUUAGAAAACUGUAACUCUAGAAAAUAGUUUUUGAUUUCCUCAGCAUAGAUGAAGUAUACAUGUAUAUAUUCUAAUGAGUAUUAAUAAGUGGAAAGUUCAGUGCAAACAUCUUUUCCAGAACGGAAACAAAUUACCCUUACCAUGCACUUAUUUAUGCCUGUAGCUAAUUCUGUUGUCUCUGUUAUUCAGUUUAUUGACUGUUAUUCUCUGCACUUUCUUUUUCAUUCCAUAAAUUUAUCUAUUUCAGAAAGACAAUCAGUCCUUUCAUAUUUACAAAGAAAAGGUUAUAUUCGCACCUGCUAUGUGUAUGUAAUAAAUACCUUAAUUAUAAACAAAUGUAUCACAUUUAAUCCAUUUAUUCUAAUUACGGAGUUAUAUGAACUGCUAAAAAGUCUGCCCUUUAAAAAGAACUACAUUUUCUUGCUCACAUCAGAUCAUGUUAUUUACUUUACUUGAACAUUUUGAACAACAAACUCUACCAACUAACUGGAUGGCAACUGUUAGGUCAUGACCUGAACCAGUGAUUGAGCACCUGGCAAAGGGGUACAGCCAGCCCUGGGAGCACAGGUGGAAGCAAUUCAUGUGUGUGACCCUGGGUCCACCCCCUCCCUAAUCACAUUUAAGGCCCAGCAGCUGCAAGAGAAGUACGUCUACUUGGAGACUGUUUGCUUUGGAGUGUUUAGAGAGUCCUGAUCCUUGGAAAGAGGUAAGUGAUUCCUUUAUUUCUGGAUUGUAACUGCUGUUGUUCUUGGGUCUAAAGCAAAACUGCCUGUCCUUACACAAACAUACACAGGAUUCAGUUUACUUGAAGUUACUUAAAUUGAUCCAGUAGUCAAAAUACACAUAAUUAACAUUAUCUUAAGUCUUAAAAA